RNAcentral lists this long non-coding RNA (985 nucleotides) under Homo sapiens (human). RNAcentral describes it as "non-protein coding LINC01611:8". The record is from RNAcentral. Lineage: Eukaryota; Metazoa; Chordata; Mammalia; Primates; Hominidae.
AAGCCUGGCAAUGGCGGGCGCCCCUCCCCCAGCCUCGCUGCCACCUUGCAGUUUGAUCUCAGAUUGCUGUGCUAACAAUCAGCCAGACUCCUUGGGCGUAGGACCCUCCGAGCCAGGUGUGGGAUAUAAUCUCGUGGUGCGCCAUUUUUUAAGCUGGUCAGAAAAGCGCAGUAUUCAGGUGGGAGUGGCCCGAUUUUCCAGGUGCGUCGGUCACCCGUUUCUUUGACUCGGAAAGGGAACUCCCUGACCCCUUGCGCUUCCCAAGUGAGGCAAUGCCUCUCCCUGCUUCGGCUCGCGCAUGGUGCGCGCACCCACUGACCUGCGCCCACUGUCUGGCACUCCCAAGUGAGAUGAACCCGGUACCUCAGAUGGAAAUGCAGAAAUCACCCGUCUUCUGCAUCGCUCACGCUGGGAGCUGUAGACAGGAGCUGUUCCUAUUCGGCCAUCUUGGCUCCUCUCGAUAAUUGCUUUCAUGUGAACCCUUCAUAAGGUAAAAUCAAAUCCCUAUUAGGAUAAAUGAUUGAGUGUUCCUGUAAAGAAUUGUUCCCCUGGUUCAAGCAACCAGAUUUCAUUCCCAGAUGAUCAAAAAUGGACUUGAUGAAAUGGAAAAGCACUGAUAGAAACAGAAUGCUGUCAUUAUUCCCAGUUCACAGAUGGGGAGGUAAAAACCCAGAGCUUAAUAGCAUGUCCAAGAUCACAUAACUAUUCCACUGCUCAAAAUUACUCCUGAAGGGAUGAGGACACCAGGAUAUGCCACCGGACCACUGAAGGAAUGGUGAUGGUAUGAAGAAAGUAUUUUUAAUGAGCAGAGCCAUUGUUUGCUCUGCUCUGUCCUCACCCCUCAAGAGAAUUUCCCUUAUUAUUAUGAAAACUUUUUAUCUUAAAAGAUAUUACAUGUUAAUGGAACUGUCGUUUAACAAAUGUUUUAUAAGUGUACCAAUCAAGCACAUUGUCGAAAUAAAAGAUAUGAAAUAAGUGAAAAAAA